Molecule: ribosomal RNA, 484 nt
Filed under: uncultured bacterium
Lineage: Bacteria
Description: partial 16S ribosomal RNA
Rfam family: Bacterial small subunit ribosomal RNA
Source: RNAcentral
AUUGAACGCUGGCGGCAGGCCUAACACAUGCAAGUCGAGCGGAUGAAGGGAGCUUGCUCCUGGAUUCAGCGGCGGACGGGUGAGUAAUGCCUAGGAAUCUGCCUGGUAGUGGGGGAUAACGUCCGGAAACGGGCGCUAAUACCGCAUACGUCCUGAGGGAGAAAGUGGGGGAUCUUCGGACCUCACGCUAUCAGAUGAGCCUAGGUCGGAUUAGCUAGUUGGUGGGGUAAAGGCCUACCAAGGCGACGAUCCGUAACUGGUCUGAGAGGAUGAUCAGUCACACUGGAACUGAGACACGGUCCAGACUCCUACGGGAGGCAGCAGUUGGGAAUAUUGGACAAUGGGCGAAAGCAUGAUCCAGCCAUGCCGCGUGUGUGAAGAAGGUCUUCGGAUUGUAAAGCACUUCAAGUUGGGAGGAAGGGCAGUAAGUUAAUACCUUGCUGUUUCGACGUCACCAACAGAAUAAGCACCGGCUAACUUCGUG